GAUGAACGCUAGCUACAGGCUUAACACAUGCAAGUCGAGGGGCAGCAUGCUGAUAGCUUGCUAUCAGUGAUGGCGACCGGCGCACGGGUGAGUAACGCGUAUCCAACCUGCCUGUCACUCAGGAAUAGCCCGGUGAAAACCGGAUUAAGUCCUGAUGAUAUCAUUAGAGGGCAUCUGACGAUGAUUAAAGGUUACGGUGACAGAUGGGGAUGCGUCUGAUUAGCUUGUUGGCGGGGUAACGGCCCACCAAGGCAACGAUCAGUAGGGGUUCUGAGAGGAAGGUCCCCCCANACUGGAACUGAGACACGGUCCAGACUCCUACGGGAGGCAGCAGUGAGGAUAUUGGUCAAUGGCCGAGAGGCUGAACCAGCCAAGUAGCGUGAAGGAUGAAGGUUC
This 396-nucleotide ribosomal RNA is filed under the name uncultured bacterium. Its description in RNAcentral is "bacterial SSU rRNA". It matches the Rfam family "Bacterial small subunit ribosomal RNA", at positions 28 to 417 of the family's 1533-position model. The record is from RNAcentral.